RNAcentral lists this ribosomal RNA (465 nucleotides) under Boa constrictor (boa). RNAcentral describes it as "partial 12S ribosomal RNA". It matches the Rfam family "Bacterial small subunit ribosomal RNA", at positions 867 to 1522 of the family's 1533-position model. Lineage: Eukaryota; Metazoa; Chordata; Lepidosauria; Squamata; Boidae. The record is from RNAcentral.
GCUCGCCAAACCACUACGAGUGAAAACUUAAAAUUUAAAAGACUUGACGGUACUUCACCCAACCUAGAGGAGCCUGUCUAAUAACCGAUAACCCACGAUCAACCCAACCGCCACUAGCCACUCAGCCUAUAUACCGCCGUCGCCAGCCCACCUUGUGAAAGAAACCAAGUGAGCACAAUAGUCCCACACUAACACGACAGGUCGAGGUGUAGCUUAUGGGGCGGACAAAGAUGGGCUACAUUAUCUAAACCAGAUAAAACGGAAAAAGCCGUGAAAACAAGCCUUAUGAAGGAGGAUUUAGCAGUAAGAUGAGGACAUAAUACUCAACUGAAAACAAAGAAAUGAAGUGCGUACACACCGCCCGUCAUCCCUGUCACAACAAAAAAAUAUACAUAAACACACAACAUAAAUCAAAAACAGGGCAAGUCGUAACAUGGUAAGCGUACUGGAAAGUGUGCUUAGAAA